Molecule: transfer RNA, 72 nt
Filed under: Heterocephalus glaber (naked mole-rat)
Lineage: Eukaryota; Metazoa; Chordata; Mammalia; Rodentia; Bathyergidae
Rfam family: tRNA
About the family: Transfer RNA (tRNA) molecules are approximately 80 nucleotides in length. Their secondary structure includes four short double-helical elements and three loops (D, anti-codon, and T loops).
Source: Rfam by way of RNAcentral
GGAAAUACAACUGAAUGAUAAAGUGCUUGCCUGGCAUGAGUGAGGGUCCUAGGUUCAAUUCCUAGUAUUCCA